AACAAGGAAGAUAAGAUAAGGUGGACAGAGUUACCUUGGAAAUGCCAAAUGACAAUUGGUACUAUCAUAAUAAUAAUUUGGGUCCUUGAGAUGUCGUAGACGUGUGGUACUAUCAUAAUAAUAAUUUGGGUCCUUGAGAUGUCGUAGACGUGUGCGAGUCUCUGCAGCAGUUGUACCUUGAGAGUGUGAAGUUGCAGUCAUGUGUGAGAGGCACAACAACAAUGGUGUGAGGUGCAACAUCGUGCCAUUAGGUGCUACACUGCAAAUUGAAUUGAUAGGAAAGGAUAAUUGAAUCCUUUUUUAUCAACUGCAAAAAUAUCCUACCCGUCUCCAAGCCUACAUUAUAAUCCGAUAACAA
This 358-nucleotide long non-coding RNA is filed under the name Capsicum annuum. RNAcentral's name for it is "long non-coding RNA (CANN_LNC013209)". Lineage: Eukaryota; Viridiplantae; Streptophyta; Magnoliopsida; Solanales; Solanaceae. The record is from RNAcentral.